Molecule: ribosomal RNA, 607 nt
Filed under: uncultured Acidobacteriota bacterium
Lineage: Bacteria; Pseudomonadati; Acidobacteriota
Description: bacterial SSU rRNA
Rfam family: Bacterial small subunit ribosomal RNA
Source: RNAcentral
AGAGUUUGCAUCAUGGCUCACAAUCAACGCUGGCGGCGUGCCUAACACCUGCAAGUCGAACGAGAAAGCGGGGGCAACCCCGUGAGUACAGUGGCGAACGGGUGAGUAACACGUGACUAACCUGCCUUCGAGCGGGGGAUAACCCCGGGAAACCGGGGCUAAUACCGCAUAACAUCCCAGGGUGAAACUCCUUGUGAUCAAAUGCGCAAGCAGCUUGAAGAGGGAGUCGCGCCUGAUUAGCUAGUUGGUGAGGUAACGGCUCACCAAGGCGAUGAUCAGUAGCCGGCCCGAGAGGGCGCACGGCCACACUGGAACUGAAACACGGUCCAGACUCCUACGGGAGGCAGCAGUGGGGAAUUUUGCGCAAUGGGGGAAACCCUGACGCAGCAACGCCGCGUGGAGGAUGAAGUCCCUUGGGACGUAAACUCCUUUCGACCGGGACGAAUAAAUGACGGUACCGGUGGAAGAAGCCCCGGCUAACUUCGUGCCAGCAGCCGCGGUAAUACGAGGGGGGCGAGCGUUGUUCGGAAUUAUUGGGCGUAAAGGGCGCGUAGGCGGUGCGGUAAGUCACCUGUGAAACCCCCGGGCUCAACUCGGGGCCUGCAGG